UACGGGGGGGGCAAGCGUUGUUCGGAAUUACUGGGCGUAAAGGGCUCGUAGGCGGCCAACUAAGUCAGACGUGAAAUCCCUCGGCUUAACCGGGGAACUGCGUCUGAUACUGGAUGGCUUGAGUUUGGGAGAGGGAUGCGGAAUUCCAGGUGUAGCGGUGAAAUGCGCAGAUAUCAGGAGGAACACCGGUGGCGAAGGCGGGACUCUGGGCUGAUACUGACGCUGAGGAGCGAAAGCGUGGGGAGCAAACAGG
Molecule: ribosomal RNA, 253 nt
Filed under: uncultured bacterium
Lineage: Bacteria
Description: partial 16S ribosomal RNA
Rfam family: Bacterial small subunit ribosomal RNA
Source: RNAcentral